UUGGAGGGCAAGUCUGGUGCCAGCAGCCGCAGUAAUUCCAGCUCCAAUAGCGUAUAUUAAAGUUGUUGCAGUUAAAAAGCUCGUAGUUGAAUUUCGGGGUUAGUAGGUUGGUCAUGCCUCUGGUAUGUACUGGUCUCACUGAUUCCUCCUUCCUGAUGAGCCGUAAUGCCAUUAAUUUGGUGUUGCGGGGAAUUUGGACUGUUACUUUGAAAAAAUUAGAGUGUUUAAAGCAAGCUAACGCUUGAAUACAUUAGCAUGGAAUAAUGAAAUAGGACGUUCGAUCCUAUUUUGUUGGUUUCUAGGAUUGACGUAAUGAUUAAUAGGGAUAGUUGGGGGCAUUAGUAUUCAAUUGUCAGAGGUGAAAUUCUUGGAUUUAUUGAAGACUAACUACUGCGAAAGCAUUUGCCAAGGAUGUUUUCAUUAAUCAAGAACGAAAGUUAGGGGAUCGAAGACGAUCAGAUACCGUCGUAGUCUUAACCAUAAACUAUGCCGACUAGGGAUCGGAUGAUGUUAAUUUUUUAAUGACUCAUUCGGCGCCUUACGGGAAAC
This 549-nucleotide ribosomal RNA is filed under the name uncultured Glomeromycotina. Its description in RNAcentral is "SSU rRNA". It matches the Rfam family "Eukaryotic small subunit ribosomal RNA", at positions 548 to 1098 of the family's 1831-position model. Lineage: Eukaryota; Fungi; Glomeromycota. The record is from RNAcentral.